RNAcentral lists this unclassified non-coding RNA (192 nucleotides) under Escherichia coli. RNAcentral's name for it is "ECRV308_01913 small RNA". Lineage: Bacteria; Pseudomonadati; Pseudomonadota; Gammaproteobacteria; Enterobacterales; Enterobacteriaceae. The record is from RNAcentral.
UAUAUAAUUUAUAUUAUUCAGGCAAUGAAUUACUUUUGCAAGCCAUCGCAUUCUCUUAUGUUAUUAAUGAGUUAUGCUGAUUUGUUAAGCAGUUUUAUCAGGCUUGAAAUGGCGUCCAGCCCCGACAGGUGAAUCGUCGGGGCUGAUUUUUUCUUAUUAUUGCAGCAGAAACUUCUCGAGGAACUGGCGGGU